RNAcentral lists this ribosomal RNA (119 nucleotides) under Anolis carolinensis (green anole). Lineage: Eukaryota; Metazoa; Chordata; Lepidosauria; Squamata; Anolidae. The record is from RNAcentral.
GUCAAGAGUUUAAAUACCUUAAGAGCACCAGAUCCUGUCUGAUCUCGGAAGUUAAGCAGGGUCAAUCCUGGUUAGAACUUGGAUGGAAGAUCAGCAAUUAAUUCCAUGUGCUGUAGGCU